UACGGAGGGUCCGAGCGUUAUCCGGAAUUAUUGGGUUUAAGGGUCCGUAGGCGGGCCGUUAAGUCAGGGGUGAAAGUCUGCGGCUCAACCGUAGAAAUGCCCUUGAUACUGGCGGUCUUGAGUUAUGGCGAAGUGGGCGGAAUAUGUAGUGUAGCGGUGAAAUGCAUAGAUAUUACAUAGGACACCGAUUGCGAAGGCAGCCCACUAGCCAUAUACUGACGCUGAUGGACGAAAGCGUGGGGAGCGAAAGGG
Molecule: ribosomal RNA, 252 nt
Filed under: uncultured bacterium
Lineage: Bacteria
Description: partial 16S ribosomal RNA
Rfam family: Bacterial small subunit ribosomal RNA
Source: RNAcentral